CAAUAGCGUAUAUUAAAGUUGUUGCAGUUAAAAAGCUCGUAGUUGGAUUUGUGGCGUACGGUGUGUUCCGGGCACUUGUUGUCUGAGUAACCUGCUGUUGCCAUCCUUGGGUGGAACCUGUGUGGCAUUAGGUUGUCGUGCAGGGGAUGCCCAUCAUUUACUGUGAAAAAAUUAGAGUGUUCAAAGCAGGCUUAUGCCGUUGAAUAUAUUAGCAUGGAAUAAUGAGAUAGGACUUUUUUGCUAUUUUGUUGGUUUGCGCAAGAAGGUAAUGAUUUAUAGGGACAGUUGGGGGUAUUCGUAUUCCAUUGUCAGAGGUGAAAUUCUUGGAUUUUUGGAAGACGAACUACUGCGAAAGCAUUUACCAAGGAUGUUUUCAUUAA
Molecule: ribosomal RNA, 380 nt
Filed under: uncultured eukaryote
Lineage: Eukaryota
Description: partial 18S ribosomal RNA
Rfam family: Eukaryotic small subunit ribosomal RNA
Source: RNAcentral